CAACCUUUCCCGAGAGGGCUGCAGCCCUGGACUGAGAGGCAUCAGGCAGGAAUCCGUCACCAGAUGGCCGGGUCUCGGGGCGUCACAGGCCCCACCCCCCGCCAUGGCGCUGCACACGGGCACUGUGCCCUGUCCACCCUGAGGGACGGCAUUGGGGCCUCCCUGCACCUCCCCAUAAUGGCCUGCUGGCUCCCCUGGCCACAUCUCACUGCCCUCCAGGAGAAGGGUCCCAGCCACCCUGAUGGCAACAGGCCACAUGGGUGACAUCGAGGUCAGGAUGCGCGUGCCCCACCUCUCGGAGCCUCCCUGCAGGUGGCCACGGCUUUCAGCCUGACCCUCACCUCCACCUCACGGGGACCCCAUCCUGACCCCUCAUCCCCACUCUGGGAGUCUGACACUCCCAGCUGUUUCACCGCGGGUCUCACUACAGGACAGUUACUGCACUGCCAGCACCAUCUCCUUGUGCUACUGGCCAUGGGGGUGGACCAGAACCACCGCCAUGCAGGGUCACCCCUGGGUCACAAGCCCCAGCUCCUCCUGACCCCUCAGUGCUCUGAGGACCUCAUCCAAACACAUCCUCACCAGCCUGGGAUUCCAGCACCCCCCUGCCCCAGUCUGAGCUCCCUGAGGGGCUGUCUGGGUCUUCAGAAGAGUGGAAGCACUUUGGCUGCUGGAUGGGCAGAGGGUAUUGGAAAUCGUACCCAGAGCCUUUAUACUGAACUGCAUCCUCGGCCUUUUUAAAAUUUUGAGACAGGGUUGUACUAAAUCACCCAGGCUGGGCUUGAACUUGUGAUCCUCCCGUCUCAGCCUCCCAGAAUGUGGGGAUGACAGACAUGGACCACCACACACAGCUAGAAGUGCUUGUUGAUGUUGUGCACUGUGGGGCAAGAUGACUGACUGGUGGAGGCCUAAGACUGAAGUGAUGCUGCCUACUCUGGAACCUCGAGGGGCAGCAGAGCCAGGGCCUCUGGCCGGCAGAGGGACAUCUGGGGCUGCAGAGUCAGUCUCUGAGGCCCGACAGUGAGGGGCAGAGGGGCCGGCGUUCUGCGGGAAGGCCCAAUAGAGUCAAGCAAGGGCUCUCGGGCCGCCACACCCCGAGCUCCACCAGCCGCUCACAUCCUUCCCUCCAGGAUCGAGGCCAACUCCCUGUCCGCUGGGAUCCACAGUGCUGCAGAGGAAAAGCCAUCGAGCCCAGAGCCACUGCCACUGGGCUCCCUCCACAAUCCCAGAAAGGCAGGCACCACUGCCCUCUUGGUCAGCGAGCAGGCUGUACCCAGAGAGGUUCCAGAACACACCCAGGUCACACAGCCACUGGGCAGCAGGGCCGAGACCUGAGCCAGGCCUGGAGAUCCCCGGUGCUCAGCUGCAAUGGCCCUCAGUGGAGUUUGUCACUGGCACAGCCCAGGGGCACAGGAAAUGCCGCCCACAGUGUUCACCCUGACCAACUGCCAGUGACCCCCAAGCUCUGCACCGGUCGGUGGCCAUGGCCUUGAACCCGGGCUGUCCUGGGCUCAGGCCCUCGGCUGUGCUGUGCGGGGCUACAGCGGGCUUCUCUGGGAAGCGGAGGUGCUGUGGACUUCAGCCCUCUGGCCCUGUCCCUUCCGCCUGUCAGCAGCCACCUCCCGCCCUCCACCACGGCCACCCACGCUGGAAAUCCCCACAGCGAAGUCAGCAGAGCGUGGCCGCCGUGCAGGAUGUCCUCGAGGCCACACCUCCCUCGGACGCACCUGAGGACCAGCAGCUUCCUUGGGCUCCCUCCUUGGCCCCCUGGACCUGAGAACCCGCUCUAACCAGGGACUGGGGCCGCCCAGCCCUCUGGCCUGUCUGUCACCUGUGAGUUGGGGACCAGAAGUCUCCGCAUUCUGAACAGGGGCUGCGAGGCACAGACAGUAACUGUUCGGACGAGUGCUGUCAGGGUUGGCACCCUCUGAGGAGUGCCAGGGCCUGUGCCCUCGCCUCCCGUCCAAAUCGCCCGUUCACGUGCAUGAGUCCCAGAUCCCAGGUGCCACCCUGAUCUCUGCCAUGGGAACCCUGCUGUCCCCUCUGGAGGUAGCCAGGACCUGUGCCGGAGCAGCCCUACCUGGACCAAGGUGCAGCCAACAGAAGACAUGGGUGCACAGAGCCAGGAGAGCGGGCCCUGACAGGCUCUGGCGAGCGCCUGGAUACAGCUGUGCCUGAAGGAGCUCCUCCUGCAGCCAGUAAAACCCUCUCAGUUUAAGUCAGGGGGAUUGCUUCUAACCGGUGUAACCUUAAAGGGGCUUAAAACACGAUUAAUGUGCCUC
This 2282-nucleotide long non-coding RNA is filed under the name Heterocephalus glaber (naked mole-rat). RNAcentral's name for it is "lncRNA (ENSHGLG00100046601.1)". Lineage: Eukaryota; Metazoa; Chordata; Mammalia; Rodentia; Bathyergidae. The record is from RNAcentral.